Podarcis lilfordi (Lilford's wall lizard) is the source of this 77-nucleotide non-coding RNA. The record is from the annotation of a GenBank genome assembly. NCBI's taxonomy places the organism in Eukaryota, Metazoa, Chordata, Lepidosauria, Squamata, Lacertidae.
GCCAUCUGGAAUAGUUCACUCGGUAGAGCAGGAGACAAUUAAUCUCAGAGUUGUGGGUUUGAACCCCACCUUGGGCA